GUUUUUGAUCAAUAAACUGAACAAUUCACAUUUACCAGCUCUUUCCAACAUUGAGAAUGAUUUCAUCAUUAAGAGAGAAAAAGAUAAAACCAAACAAUCCAUAAUCAUUUGGCCAAUAAUAAUUUAAGUUCAAUAAGCAGCUACUAGACUCCUUAAUCUCCUUAAUUCCCAAGAUUAUAUAAUUGAUUUUCAAGUCUCAAG
RNAcentral lists this unclassified non-coding RNA (201 nucleotides) under Hevea brasiliensis (rubber tree). Lineage: Eukaryota; Viridiplantae; Streptophyta; Magnoliopsida; Malpighiales; Euphorbiaceae. The record is from RNAcentral.